GAUGAACGCUGGCGGCGUGCCUAAUACAUGCAAGUCGAGCGAACAGAUGAGGAGCUUGCUCCUCUGACGUUAGCGGCGGACGGGUGAGUAACACGUGGAUAACCUACCUAUAAGACUGGGAUAACUUCGGGAAACCGGAGCUAAUACCGGAUAAUAUAUUGAACCGCAUGGUUCAAUAGUGAAAGACGGUUUUGCUGUCACUUAUAGAUGGAUCCGCGCCGCAUUAGCUAGCUGGUAAGGUAACGGCUUACCAAGGCAACGAUGCGUAGCCGACCUGAGAGGGUGAUCGGCCACACUGGAACUGAGACACGGUCCAGACUCCUACGGGAGGCAGCAGUAGGGAAUCUUCCGCAAUGGGCGAAAGCCUGACGGAGCAACGCCGCGUGAGUGAUGAAGGCCUUCGGAUCGUAAAACUCUGUUAUUAGGGAAGAACAAAUGUGUAAGUAACUAUGCACGUCUUGACGGUACCUAAUCAGAAAGCCACGGCUAACUACGUG
RNAcentral lists this ribosomal RNA (497 nucleotides) under uncultured bacterium. RNAcentral's name for it is "partial 16S ribosomal RNA". It matches the Rfam family "Bacterial small subunit ribosomal RNA", at positions 28 to 507 of the family's 1533-position model. The record is from RNAcentral.